This 203-nucleotide long non-coding RNA is filed under the name Elaeis guineensis (African oil palm). RNAcentral's name for it is "long non-coding RNA (EGUI_LNC048208)". The record is from RNAcentral. Lineage: Eukaryota; Viridiplantae; Streptophyta; Magnoliopsida; Arecales; Arecaceae.
CCAUCCAAAAAAGAGAGAUCCACCAUGGAUUGUUGAGCAACGACCAAAUGUCAGCAUUCCUUGAAUCCCACUUCCUAAUCGGUAUUAAAAGACAUGCUCGAAGGAAACCUUCAUGUCCUUGAAUUUGUCGGAGGUUUUAAACACCUCUAUGGCUAAACAUUUGGUCUCCAUGAUGCACUCAUCAACCUUUUUCUCAUCCUCAG